UAAAAUUAAUUGUUUGUUUCAGAAAUCUUAAGGUAAAGAAUAAUUAUAAAUAAAAAUAAUUGGUUUACCAUAAUUUGACAUGUUGUAAGAACACUUAUUUUAUUGCUCUCUAUGGUUUCAGUUGAUCCGGAACAGCAGGAAGAAAGCGUUGGUGAAAUAUCGGUGCAAAUUGAUUUAUUUUCGCAUCCCGGCACCGGGGAGCACAAAGUUAAUGUUAAAGUUAUCGCAGCGAAUGAUCUCAAAUGGCAAAUUGCUUCGGGCAUGUUUCGCCCGUUUAUCGAAAUAAAUUUAAUUGGGCCACAUUUACAGGAUAGGAAGCGUAAAUUCGCUACAAAAUCAAAAUCCAACAAUUGGUCGCCAAAGUACAAUGAAACAUUUAAUUUCACAAUCGGUAAUGAGGAGCAGUUGGAUUUUUUCGAGUUGCACAUUUGUGUAAAAGACUACUGUUUUGCUAGAGAAGACCGUUUAGUUGGUGUGGCUGUUAUCCCGUUAAAAGAUAUAUCGGAAAAGGGAUCAGUUGCCUGCUGGUUACCAUUACAACGCCGUAUUCAAAUGGACGAGACGGGCUGGACGAUUUUACGAAUUUUAUCGCAACGUAAUAAUGAUGAAGUUGCCAAAGAGUUUGUCAAACUAAAAUCGGAAAUUCGUCAGGAACCUAUAAUGGGGACAUAGCUUGGUUAAAUUGUUAAAUACUAACAAUAUCGCUAAAGGAAAUCUUAUAAUACUAAUUAGAAAACUAAAAAAUAGAGCAUUGCAAUAAUAUCGAAUAUAUAUUAUUCGUCGGACCGGGACUCAAAUCCAUGACACUUCGCAUUGUGGACAAGCUGCUGGUCUUGAGCCUCACCAUUAAAAAAAAAAUUAAAUAAAGCUAAAAUCGGAGGUCCUAAUGUUAUUUUAAUUUUCUCAUAUGAAAUGCAUUCGGACAUAUUAUUAUUCCCAGUUCUACUAAAUAAUUGUACUAAGUUAAAGAGUAAAAAAUUACAAAAUUAGUUUAAACCGAUUUAAAAAUAAAUAUAAAUAAUUAUAGACAUAAAUAUA
This 1038-nucleotide unclassified non-coding RNA is filed under the name Ceratitis capitata (Mediterranean fruit fly). RNAcentral describes it as "protein unc-13 homolog B, transcript variant X1". The record is from RNAcentral. Lineage: Eukaryota; Metazoa; Arthropoda; Insecta; Diptera; Tephritidae.